UAGUAUAAUUUCAAGAUUUUUGUUCACGUAAAUAAAGUUAUAAUGAGUAACGGUUAGUUCUAAAUAUAAAUUAUAUUUAUUAUUAAAACUUACAUUGGAAGAAGUUAUACUGACCGUUUAAUAAAACGUUGACUACUGGCCGUUGCGUACCAUAGCCUUGUUAUUGAUCAUUAUAUAUUUAUUUACUUAUCAUCAAUUUUAAAUUAUCAGGAAACAAAUUUAUCGUAGGUACCAUAAUAAAUGUGUAAUAAAUAUAACAUUAUAAUGUUACAACCUUGUCACGGAUUAUUGGAAAAUGUUUGUGACAUCAAAUAGCAUUUGUUUUUAGUUUCUGAAAUAAAAUAAAAUUUGUUAUCAAGAUAUUUAACAAUUUUGAUUUUUCAUAUUACAAAAAAUAUUGUCUCGAUUAUGAGUUAUUAAAAGGAAUACAAUUCAAAGAAAAAAAAAACAGCUAAUACUGUUGAUGUAUGCACCACUGUUGUAGGUGGGAAGUUGGGAAUAUAGGAUCCAUAAAGUUGUUUAAUUUAUAUCUAUAAGCAACGAUAAAUCAUUACUAACGAAAAACGAUUCUGAGUGAAGUUUGUUUUUAAAUGAUAUGAUUUGAAAAGUGAUAUGAAAUUUGAUCUUAAAACCAUUAUAAAAAUACAAAUUUUUUUUUUAGAAAAAAAAACGCCGGGUGGGGGCACUUUUAACACAAUUGUCGAUUAUCCUUUUUCUAUAACUGUGAUAAUAAAACUGAUAAAUAAAAGUUGCAGGUAACACAAAAAAAAACUCCACACAGGUGAAGCCAGAAUAUUUACUUUGUAUGUCAUAUUAUGAUAAAAUGGUUAAAAAAAUUUGCGUUUCCGUGACAACAUUAAUUAUUUAAAAAAAAAAUAAAAUAAUAAAAACUUAAUAAUAACAAACAAUUUUUUUUUUUUUUUAAUUUUAAUUAUAAUACAUACAAUCUGUAAAUACUUUUUACAAUAAGCAUGUUUGAGGAAUUAUGGAAAAAAAAAAAAUAAAUAAAAUAAAAAUAAAAAAGGCGAGAUCGACAUGAGGAAGUAAUCACCCAGCGGCAACACUUACUGACUAUAGAGGGCUAUUAUAGGUCACGGUUCCAGUUACGUUUUAACCUUCUAGGUGGAUUACCUGGAAUGGAAUUGGAGUUUAGGGCACGGAUUAGUAGAUUAGAGUGGUUUGUAAGACGCGCGCGGAAAAGUCUAUAGGCAUUUUUGGCUUCUUCGUGGACAGUUAAAAUUUUUAAGUCUGAAUGUAAG
Molecule: non-coding RNA, 1259 nt
Organism: Cinara cedri
Lineage: Eukaryota; Metazoa; Arthropoda; Insecta; Hemiptera; Aphididae
Source: the annotation of a GenBank genome assembly